GACGUAGGGCGCGAGCGUUGUCCGGAUUUAUUGGGCGUAAAGAGCUCGUAGGCGGUCUGUCGCGUCUGCUGUGAAAACCCGAGGCUCAACCUCGGGCCUGCAGUGGGUACGGGCAGACUAGAGUGCGGUAGGGGAGAAUGGAACUCCUGGUGUAGCGGUGGAAUGCGCAGAUAUCAGGAAGAACACCGAUGGCGAAGGCAGUUCUCUGGGCCGUAACUGACGCUGAGGAGCGAAAGCGUGGGGAGCGAACAGG
Molecule: ribosomal RNA, 253 nt
Filed under: uncultured bacterium
Lineage: Bacteria
Description: partial 16S ribosomal RNA
Rfam family: Bacterial small subunit ribosomal RNA
Source: RNAcentral